RNAcentral lists this ribosomal RNA (493 nucleotides) under uncultured bacterium. Its description in RNAcentral is "bacterial SSU rRNA". It matches the Rfam family "Bacterial small subunit ribosomal RNA", at positions 903 to 1397 of the family's 1533-position model. The record is from RNAcentral.
AAAGGAAUUGACGGGGGCCCGCACAAGCAGCGGAGCAUGUGGUUUAAUUCGAAGCAACGCGAAGAACCUUACCAAGGCUUGACAUGGUUAUGGAUAUGCCGGAGACGGCAUAGCUCUUUAUGGGCAUAAUCACAGGUGGUGCAUGGUUGUCGUCAGCUCGUGUCGUGAGAUGUUGGGUUAAGUCCCGCAACGAGCGCAACCCUUGCAGUCAGUUACCAUCAUUAAGUUGGGGACUCUGACUGGACUGCCGUGGAGAACACGGAGGAAGGCGGGGAUGACGUCAAAUCAUCAUGCCCCUUAUGUCUUGGGCUACACACGUGCUACAAUGGCCGCAACAAAGAGGGACGAACCCGUAAGGGGGAGGGAAUCUCAAAAAAGCGGUCUCAGUUCAGAUUGCGGGCUGCAACCCGCCCGCAUGAAGACGGAGUUGCUAGUAAUCGCGAAUCAGCAUGUCGCGGUGAAUGCGUUCCCGGGCCUUGUACACACCGCCCGU